AUCCUUUUGUAGUUCAUAAGCAUGAUUGGGUUUUCACACUUGUGUGUGAAAUGUACCUCCCUCAAACCUUGUUAACAGCACCAGCACAUUACCUAUCUGACA
Molecule: small nucleolar RNA, 102 nt
Organism: Lemur catta (Ring-tailed lemur)
Lineage: Eukaryota; Metazoa; Chordata; Mammalia; Primates; Lemuridae
Product: small nucleolar RNA U13
Exons: 1
Source: RefSeq, a predicted model, not a curated record